AAACUUUCAACAACGGAUCUCUUGGUUCUGGCAUCGAUGAAGAACGCAGCGAAAUGCGAUAAGUAAUGUGAAUUGCAGAAUUCAGUGAAUCAUCGAAUCUUUGAACGCACAUUGCGCCCUCUGGUAUUCCGGGGGGCAUGCCUGUUCGAGCGUCAUUUACACCCCUCAAGCCUAGCUUGGUAUUGGGAGCCUGCCCCCCGGGGGCAAUCCCGAAAUGCAGCGGCGGUGCGGCCGGAUUUCCUAGCGCAGUGACUCAUAUCAUCGCUACAAGGAAUCCGCGUCGUCCCGGCCGGACAACAACCAAAUUUUACCACG
RNAcentral lists this ribosomal RNA (315 nucleotides) under Hormodochis aggregata. Its description in RNAcentral is "5.8S ribosomal RNA". The stretch from base 2 to 155 matches the Rfam family "5.8S ribosomal RNA". The record is from RNAcentral. Lineage: Eukaryota; Fungi; Ascomycota.